RNAcentral lists this small nucleolar RNA (76 nucleotides) under Paramormyrops kingsleyae. RNAcentral describes it as "Small nucleolar RNA SNORD126 (ENSPKIG00000008195.1)". It matches the Rfam family "Small nucleolar RNA SNORD126". The record is from RNAcentral. Lineage: Eukaryota; Metazoa; Chordata; Actinopteri; Osteoglossiformes; Mormyridae.
ACCUUGCGGUGAUGAGUUGCAUGUUGUCCGUGUUUCACCUGAUAAGCAAUGAUUAUACACAUGCACUGAGCAGGCU